Molecule: transfer RNA, 72 nt
Filed under: Diaphorina citri (Asian citrus psyllid)
Lineage: Eukaryota; Metazoa; Arthropoda; Insecta; Hemiptera; Psyllidae
Rfam family: tRNA
About the family: Transfer RNA (tRNA) molecules are approximately 80 nucleotides in length. Their secondary structure includes four short double-helical elements and three loops (D, anti-codon, and T loops). Further hydrogen bonds mediate the characteristic L-shaped molecular structure. tRNAs have two regions of fundamental functional importance: the anti-codon, which is responsible for specific mRNA codon recognition, and the 3' end, to which the tRNAs corresponding amino acid is attached (by aminoacyl-tRNA synthetases). tRNAs cope with the degeneracy of the genetic code in two manners: having more than one tRNA (with a specific anti-codon) for a particular amino acid; and 'wobble' base-pairing, i.e. permitting non-standard base-pairing at the 3rd anti-codon position.
Source: Rfam by way of RNAcentral
ACUUCAGUGUUGUAGUGGUUAGCGCGGUGGACUUCGGAUCCGAAGGCUCUUGGUUCGAGUCCAAGUAAAGUA